GAGUGCGUCUGCCGCAGACAUGAGAGGAUCGUUUUAAGUGUGUUCUGUACGAGUGACUCUGUUUUCGGGAUAAAUAACUUGCUGAAGUCCACACGACACUGUUUCCCUGGAGGAGAAGAAGAGUGCGUGGGAAAGCAAAGCCGUGGGCCCGGUGUGGAGGAGUCGAGGCGGAGAAGACAGGCGCAGAGUCCAUGAAUUAAGGUGAGAACCAGCUAGAGAGCGAAGCCAUUGCUAACUGCUAAGCUAACUCUCAGAUUUGAAACACGUGUGAACAACUGUGGGAUUAGAGCGACAGUUGCUAAAAGUAGAAUAAAGCAUCGAGUGCUUUAGCGGAGUUAGUGCAUGUUUAAAUAGGUAUGAACUAAUUAAAUCGAACAGUUUGUUCUCUAAGUUUUUUCAAAAACGUGACUUUUCUGUUUUUUUAAUUUUUGUAGGAAGCUCUGAGGGAAAUGGCCGGCGGAGCGAGGGUAUGAUUAAAGAAGAGCUGUGCUGUUUAAAAUACAUCCUCCAGCUGAUCUUUUUCAUUGUUUUGUUUUCACAGCCGGAUUCCUGUACACAAUGACGCAGUCCCUGCACAUUACGCCGAUAAUCGCUGAAAGUCCGCAUUUGCAGUGUGGAAAAACGACGCCAUUGUACCUGCCUGUACUAUGACUUACUAAGACCCACUAUGAGCCAGUAUGACGGAGCUUCCAGUUCAUCCAUACGGACCUUGCAUCAGCAUUGAGGAGUUCAGGAGUCGGCAGAGAAGAGGCUGAUUGAAGUGGGACAGAUGACAUGGAUCCAUCCUUCCACAGCCAGGAGCUCACCGACCUGUGUGCCACACUUCAAAUAAGACUAGAGGCUACACUGGAUCUCACAGCUACACACCACAGACGUCUACACACUGGGGCAGAUUCAGACAGAGUCCCACAAAGAACAUAUGAACAAGAGGCUGCAAAGAGACAUUUCAAGCUUCACCUGAUUAGCUUUUCACUGGCUAGGCUAGUUGUGUUUGUACAAUAUUUGUGCUGUAUGUAAAUAAAGCUUUGACUCAACAUA
Molecule: long non-coding RNA, 1038 nt
Organism: Pleuronectes platessa (European plaice)
Lineage: Eukaryota; Metazoa; Chordata; Actinopteri; Pleuronectiformes; Pleuronectidae
Exons: 3
Source: RefSeq, a predicted model, not a curated record